CUGAGUAAUAAGGGAACUGAACUUCCAGACACAGAAUAUACAGAGCUGGUGAAAACACUGCCAGUUAGUGGUGAUGGAAAGGUGCAUAAAAAUAGGAUACUAAAGGGUGUGAAGUCUUUCAAAAGAGGAAAAGUUGACAGCAGCAACCUGAAAUCAAUUCUAGAAAAAAUGGACAUCAAACUCACUGAAAAAGAAUUUGAAGAGCUAAAAGAAAAUCUGUUGAUGGUUUGCAUAGUAGAUACCCUUGUCAGUCCCCAAAGGAAGUUUUGUCCAAGUCUUACAGCUGAGAAUUUCUAAAACUGGAUUUCGUUAGUGAUAAGAUAAAAGUUUAAAAUAUGAAGGUACGGUAAAAUUAGAAAAAAAGCUACAGAUGCCAACUAUUGCUGCUGUCAUUCAACAUUGUCUUAAGGGGUGUAGCUACUUUAGUGAGGAAAUGGGAUGAAAUAAUAUUGGGAAAGGGAAACUUUAGUUUCAGAUGAUAUGAUUGUGUAUCUAGGAAACACAAGCACACAAACUAAAAGAAAUCUGUGAGAAUUAUUGAGCCUUCGAUAAGCCAUUUUGGUUCAGGUGGCUUAAUACAAGAUAAAUAUGCAAAUCUCAGUGGCUUUCCCUAAGCUAGCAAUGACCAAAUAGAAAUAAAAUAGGAAAAGUAUUUGAUUUGUAACAUCAACAAAACCCAUGAAUUAUCUGGGAAUACAUUUUACAAGAAAUAGGAUCUGUAUAAAGAAAACUGUAAAAUCUUAUUAAGGAACGUAAAAUAAAACAUUAGUAUUGUUGAAUGGUAAACUAACAUACAGGAUCAGAUUGUUAAAUCAGACUGACAUGAAUCGGAGAUCUUAUCCAGCAUCAAGCUUCGCUAAAUAAUGUCAAGGAUAAAAGCCAUUAGCAAAUAAAUAGAGGUCUGAGAUGUCAAGAGCGCCAUAGUUUCUUCCUUCCCAUGUUGAACAUGCCACUCUGGUCCAGAAUAGAUGAAGUCUCUAUCAGUCACCUCACACAGCAGGAGCAUUUAAAUUAUGAAACAUUCCAGAAAGUUGUAUAGCCUUUGUGACAUUAUCCAGGGAGCCAUGCCUCAUAGAUCAUGGGUUCUAUUUGCUACCAAUAAUCCCUAGCCACAGACAUACUGCUAAGGGCAUUUCAAACAUAAAGACUCUUCCUCGUAGCAUAUAUCAUUAGUCUAUUUACCUGGAGGACCAAUUGACAAGGAUAUUAAACUGGGUCACCUUCCUUCUUUUCUUUUCACUGAGGGCAACUCCUCAGUGAAGGGAGUUAAUGGAUUAUAGACCACUUGCUUUAACUCUUUCCUCUCAGAUGGAAAAAUUUCUCUAGAUUUACUGAAAUAAAGAUAUCAAUUAUCCUAAAAUAAUAUGAGUAUAUACACAUAUAUCGUUUGUGUGUAUGUGUA
This is a long non-coding RNA of Hippopotamus amphibius kiboko, 1402 nucleotides long. RefSeq lists it as uncharacterized. The record is from RefSeq and is a predicted model, not a curated record. The transcript has 3 exons. Lineage: Eukaryota; Metazoa; Chordata; Mammalia; Artiodactyla; Hippopotamidae.